GGGUUUCUUUCUAGAGAUCUCUUCUUUUAGAGUUCUCUGCUAUGAGCCUCAGACACAGGAAACGCAGCUAUUCCGUGUGCAACUUUGUAGUUGGGAGCCCAUUUACAGUAAUGGUUUCAGCUCGUCCUAAUGAUCAGUGGAAACAGCUGAGGAAGCUUCAGAAGUGUACUGCUCAUGUGCUGCUGACACAGCAUAGGUGGAUUUGUGAGAAGGGAAGUGGAGAAGGGAGGACAAUCCCUGUGUGAGAACCACCUUCAGAACAAAAGCUGAAACUUCAAAGCA
This is a long non-coding RNA of Lagopus leucura (white-tailed ptarmigan), 282 nucleotides long. RefSeq lists it as uncharacterized. NCBI's taxonomy places the organism in Eukaryota, Metazoa, Chordata, Aves, Galliformes, Phasianidae. The record is from RefSeq and is a predicted model, not a curated record. The transcript has 3 exons.